This 209-nucleotide long non-coding RNA is filed under the name Gossypium barbadense (sea-island cotton). RNAcentral's name for it is "long non-coding RNA (GBAR_LNC000492)". Lineage: Eukaryota; Viridiplantae; Streptophyta; Magnoliopsida; Malvales; Malvaceae. The record is from RNAcentral.
UAACAUGCAUUAAUAGGUCCUUAUAGAUUAACCUAUCACCUUUUAAAAGUGCCACACAUAAGUCCUCUUAAUUAAAUUCACAUACAAUCGACUAAAUCGAAGCUUAAAACUUUCACACAUUCAUAUUCACAUAUUUUAGACAAUAAAUAUCAUAUUCAAAUACUUCGGUGACUCGGUUUAGCGGUCCCGAAACCACUUUCCGACUAGGG